UGACUUUUGAUGAACAUAUCAUUAGAAUCCAAUGGUGCAAUACUUUGAUUUAAAUCCUUAAUUUGGCUAUGGUAAUCCAAGAAGCUUGAGAUUACCUAGACUUUUCUUAAUUGUUGAAAUGGAUAGAGAAGCUCAUAACAAUUUCCUUAGUCAAAGUCACUAAUUCCAAAUAGCAUGUAAUUAGUGAAAGUCAACUAACAUUAAGAACCAAAAAGUCACCAAAUCCAAGAGGGGUCAAAUGCUUUCACCACCAUGUUGGAGGAAAUGUUUUUAUGAUUGUGUGAAGCAAAAACAACACAAAAAUCAUUUGUUGCUUGCUAAUUUGAGGAUCAUUUACUUAAUCAAGAAAUUAGCCAACUAAUCACCACAAACACAUUUAAACUCAUGAAUAAAAACAUACUAGUAGUGAUAAAAUGAUAAAACACAAAACAUUUCCAUAAAGAUUUAAGAAUAAGUUCAUGGAUUCUUCAACAUUCAACAAAAGUUCAAAGGAUUCAACAAGAAAUCAACCAAGAUUAGUUUAGCCAAGCAUGGCUAAACUCAAAGAAACAAAGUUAGAUGAAAUUGUACCAAACAUUUUACAAAAAUUAAGAGGUGAAAUCAAGAUGUUUUUCAAGUGUUCUUGGCCUCAAAAAGUGCUUCAAACUCCAGAGAGAAAGUAUCAAAAUCGGACCUUCAAGAUCUGGCUAAAGAGGUACACCCACCUUCCCAAUAUAGAGCUCUUAGCAAAAUCCCGAAAUUGCCCUUGUCAGGAAUCCACGCGGGCCGCAGGGAAUCUUACGCGGGCCACGGGCUCUGACAGGUAUUUUUGAUCUUUUUCAAGUUUUGGGCCCCCACAACUAAUCCAUUGCCCAGUUCGAAUCCAAUCAACUCCUAGCCCAUUUUUCUUCAAUAUUUCUUCAAUUAAAGCCCAAUUUGUCUAUCCACAUCACUCUAAACUUCCGCUAACUCCCAAAUAUUGAUCUUGCACACUCAAGAAUUCUCCCGCGUCUUUCAAAUUUAAAGCUCAAUUCUUCCAAGCCUUCAAGCAAUUGACAAGUCCACCCCAUGAGUCACCUUCAUAGCCAUCAAGCACGAAAUCCCCAAUUCCCUUCAAGCCCAAUCGCCUCCCAAGAGUGCCGCCCCGCUAGUUUCCAAGAAAAUCUGCAAUAAUGCUCAAGAAACUAGAAAGUACCCCGAAAUGGCCAUAAAAAUAACAAAAGGGAAAAUAUGCAUGGAAGUUAACUAAAAUGUGAAUGAAAUGUACUAAAAUAAACUAUAAAAAGAAGUAAAUAAAAUGAAGCUAACAAAUCACCCCAAGCUUAAACCUUACGUGUCCUCAAGUAAGACAAGACUAAAUGAACUUGGGACGAACUACCCUAGAAAUAAAAAGAAUGGAUAGAACCAUGGAACCUAUUCGAUGUUAGUCAACAUGGUCAGAAUUGAUCUCGCUGCUGUCUCACAACUUUUUCAUCCGAUGACAAUGGGACCAUAAACCACAGCCAGGACAACUCCUCUAGGUGAAUAAGGAGGGAUGGUCAGUCGUAGUCUUAAUGGAACAUGCAUACAAUGAAGAACAUCUGUAGUAGGGAGAAAGCAACUGGAUGGGCUCAGGUGGAGCUCUUCUGUAAGUGCACACUCUGAUCUCACGUCUUCCGGUUUCUCUCAUGUGUAAUUGGGUUUAAUCGCCCGGGCACCGUUGUAGGAAUCAUUUCACUUAGUGUUGGCCCAAACCUCCCGUAGUAUCCAACUCGACAGUCUCCCUAACAUCACCAAUUUGCGAGAGAAAAAAAACAACUAGAUCUAUAUAUAAUAAAACAGACCUAUAUAAAUGAAUAUCAAACACCGGGUGACCAAGAUGAUGGGAAAUUUGUUCAAUAAUUGAACCGAACACCUAUCUAAAAUAGUUGCAAUUGAAAAUUUGCAUGCUUCUUUUUGCUUUGUUUUGUUUUUUUUGGUUUUUUUUUGUUUUUUUUUUGUUUGAUACUUAAAGGUAAUGUAUUAACAAUCGAAAAUUUUAACAAGAAAACCCUUUGACUAAAAUUUUGGUUCCCAAAAGUGUGUAAGUGGAACCGAAAGGGUAAUGAUAUAAUCUGAAUGGCCUAAGUGUGAAAAUGACCAUGUGUGGAGCAUAAAGAUGUAAUAUAAGCUCCUUUUCAAACUCAUGGUUUUUCAAAGAUAAUGAAAAUGUCCAAAUGUGGACUAAAAGACUCUUUAAAAUUCUAACAAAAUCGCAAAAAGAUAUGGUGAUGUAAAGAGACCGGAUAUGGAUUCUACUCGGGGACAAGCACCAAUGCUUCAUCCUAACAGUUCAAACAUCAUCAAGUGUGAUCCUCUCAGCGGUAGUGACCGUAAGUCUAAGAACAUCCAUUGUUAUGGUAUAUCCUACAGUUGUUAGUAUUGUAUGCAUAAUUCUUCAUGAAACUACCUGGCCAUGAUCACUUACCCCUUUAAGCUACCAGCAUCUGAUCCCAAGUAUGAAAUCCCAAAUUGCGGCUAGUGGUCCCGGUUCGAUGGGUGAGGUAGCAACAAGAUCCUAGACCAAUAAUGAUACAAUAACUGUGAACCUGUUCCAUGGCAUCCAAGAGAUGUGAGAAUAAAUAGACAACAAAAAUGCAAGAAUGUUAAUGCCUUAAGCUCAAUGUUAUGCAAAAAUAAAAAGUGGAAAAGAGAAAAUAAAAUCUUUUUGAAAUUUUAUAACAUAAAAAAUCAAUGCAAAUUAACUUAAACUAAUAUGUUAUGCAACCUAACUAAAGAAAAAUGAAUGAAAAAUUAAAAAGAAAGGGAAAUGCCCCACCCCAAGCUUAAGAACAAACAUUCUCCUCAAUGCUUAAGGAAAGGGCGGAAAUGACCUAAAUUGAAGGGUUGGGUAGAGCAUAAGGGUUUGUAGAGAAGGAAAAAUGGUGAAUAAUGGUUGUGGUCUCGAGGGAUUCCGACCGGUAGAUCUCCGGGAAAUCGAGUUUUUGUGUGGAGCGCGGGCGGGGCGCGGGCCGCGUAGAGGCCGCGUGUAACAUUCUUGGUUUCCUCUUGAGUUCACAGAAGGUUCAGAAGAAUUUUGGGUCAAAACACGCGGGCCACGUAAAGGCCGCAUGAACUGAAGCUCAAAAAAUACUAAGUGUUGAAACCAGCCCCGCGGGCCGCGUGGAACCCGCAUGCCGGCCGCGUUAGCUGAACAGGGCUAGAGGUGAUUGUUUUACGCGGGCAAGGAAUGGGCGGCACAUAAGCCGCACAUGACCUUACGCAGGCCGCAUGACUUCCUGCACCUUAAAAUUUGAAAUGUUUCAAAAAACUUGAUUUUUGGCUUAAAUGAUUCCCGCGAAGUCCCGGUUUCAAAAACCCAAUAAAAGGUUUGGACCAAAGGNCGGGCAAGGAAUGGGCCGCACAUAAGCCGCACAUGACCUUACGCGGGCCGCGUGGAUUUUCCCGCGGGCCGCGUGACUUCCUGCACCUUAAAAUUUGAAAUUUUUCAAAAAACUUGAUUUUUGGCCUAAAUGAUUCCCGCGAAGUCCCGGUUUCAAAAACACAAUAAAAGGUUUGGACCAAAGGUGAGAAUAAAGCUUGAAAUUUUUCAAAAAUGAACAUUUUCAAAACAAAAAAAAACUUUCAAAAUCAUUUUAUUCGGUUUAUAAAAGACGAAAGCACAAUGCUUCCCAAAAAUGCCCUUCUUUAACGUCUUUGGCAAGACGCCUCCAAACUUCACUUUAACACUUUGGGGCAUCCAAAUGGACGACAUCUUGGACAUUUGAAUCAAAACCUUCAUAGAAAGGUUUCAACCGAUGUCCAUUAACAUUGAAAAUUUGCCCCGUGUCGACAUUUUUUAGUUUCCACACCUCCAUUAGGUCUCUUUUCUUGUAUUUGACUUUCUUUUUAUGGGAGAACCAUACCGGACUUAGACCUUUGAUAAUAGAAAGCAUCCAACCAUAUUCUUUAUUGUACUUGUUCAGUAAGGUGAUCAACUCUUCCAUCUUUGACAUGGUGUUCAAGUUGGUGACCGGUUGGGCGUCUUCAUUCUCGACAUAUGUAUCCUUUAAAGGGUCCGACAUAUUUAUCAUUCCCGGCUCUUGUGGUUCAUCUACCAUUGGAGUUAGUUUCUCAAUGGUAGUGGGUGGCUCAACCUCUCUUUUGUUAACACCGAACACUUCCUCUAUAGUUUCAUUGACAUCUUUCUCAAUUUCUUCUUCCUCCUUGAUAGCCUCUUCCACUUCUACUCCGUCUUCCUCUUCUCCACAUAACACUCUUGGGCCAUCAAAACUUUUCUCAUCUUUCAAAGGAAUGGCACAUGCGCUAUGCCAUGGGCUCUCUUCAGAUUGUAAUUUGUCUUGAUAUUCCAUUAUACUUACUGAUUGAGCAAUUUGUGUUAUUUGUUGCUCUAAGCUUUUGAGGCUAGCUUGGGUUUUUUCUUGGAAAAUUUGGGUAGAUGUGGCAAUGAUUUUCACAAUCUCCUCUAAGGACAUGGUUGGUGUUUCAAGUUGUUGAGGAGGUGGAGGAUAUGGAUGUUGGAAUUGUGGAGUUGGUUGGUAUUGGUCAUUUCUCCAAGCUUGGUAUGGGCUUUGGUAUUGAUUGUAUCCCCAAGCUUGGUUGUUGUCCCACCAUUGAUCAUUAUGAUGUUGAUCAUAACUCCAUUGGUUUGACCAGUAGUAACUUCCCUUCUCUUGCACUUCUUCCCAUUCUCCUUGUAAAUAUGGACACACGUCGGAUUGAUGUCCAUUUUGGGCACAAAAAUCACAAAGAAUAGGUGAGGGUUGCAUACUUUGGUCAUUUUCAAUCAUCAUAACUAACUGAGCUAGCUCAGAAAGUUUAUCUUAAAUACAAGGAGUGUUCAUUCCUGAACCAUACUUUUUUCUUCAAUUUUUUAGUUUUAAACUAGAGUACCUGCACAAUGAGAUCUAGGCAUAGAGAAACAAAUUGAUUAAAAAUAAACCAAUCCCCGGCAACGGCGCCAAAAAUUUGGUGGUUGUCGAGGCCAACACAAAUAAUAACCCUAAAUAUUACACACUAAAAUAGUGUAUAGUGGUAAAGGGAUCGAAUCCACGGAGAUUGGUUCAAUUUAUAACUCUAUGAAAAAUCUCUUUGUAAAAAUACUUGUAAAAUGACAAUAAAAAUAAAAUGGGGGGUUUUGGUGUUUUGAAAUACUUGAAACAAACUAGAAUUAACUAUGAAUUAAAUGGACAAUUUCAACAAAGAUAAGGGUUUGAUGUAAAAUCAGUAAAGGAGAGAUGGUUGACUUAAAGUUUCCUCACUUUGACUUUUGAUGAACAUAUCAUUAGAAUCCAAUGGUGCAAUACUUUGAUUUAAAUCCUUAAUUUGGCUAUAGUAAUCCAAGGAGCUUGAGAUUACCUAGACUUUUCUUAAUUGUUGAAAUGGCUAGAGAAGCUCAUAACAAUUUCCUUAGUCAAAGUCACUAAUUCCAAAUAGCAUGUAAUUAGUGAAAGUCAACUAGCAUUAAGAACCAAAAAGUCACCAAAUCCAAGAGGGGUCAAAUGCUUUCACCACCAUGUUGGAGGAAAUGUUUUUAUGAUUGUGUGAAGCAAAAACAACACAAAAAUCAUUUGUUGCUUGCUAAUUUGAGGAUCAUUUACUUAAUCAAGAAAUUAGCCAACUAAUCACCACAAACACAUUUAAACUCAUGAAUAAAAACAUACUAGUAGUGAUAAAAUGAUAAAACACAAAACAUUUCCAUAAAGAUUUAAGAAUAAGUUCAUGGAUUCUUCAACAUUCAACAAAAGUUCAAAGGAUUCAACAAGAAAUCAACCAAGAUUAGUUUAGCCAAGCAUGGCUAAACUUAAAGAAACAAAGUUAGAUGAAAUUGUACCAAACAUUUUACAAAAAUCAAGAGGUGAAAUCAAGAUGUUCUUCAAGUGUUCUUGGCCUCAAAAAGUGCUUCAAACUCCAGAGAGAAAGUAUCAAAAUCGGACCUUCAAGAUCAGGCUAAAGAGGCACACCCACCUUCCCAAUAUAGAGCUCUUAGCAAAAUCCCGAAAUUGCCCUUGUCAGGAAUCCACGCGGGCCGCAGGGAAUCUUACGCGGGCCGUGGGCUCUGACGGGUAUUUUUGAUCUUCUUCAAGUUUUGGGCCCCAACAACUAAUCCAUUGGCCCAGUUCGAAUCCAAUCAACUCCUAACCCAUUUUUCUUAAAUAUUUCUUCAAUUAA
RNAcentral lists this long non-coding RNA (6129 nucleotides) under Lactuca sativa (garden lettuce). RNAcentral's name for it is "long non-coding RNA (LSAT_LNC001422)". The record is from RNAcentral. Lineage: Eukaryota; Viridiplantae; Streptophyta; Magnoliopsida; Asterales; Asteraceae.